GAUGAACGCUGGCCUUGCGUGGGCGGAGACACAUGCAAGUUGAGCGAACCCUUCGGGGUGAGCGGCGGACGGGUGAGUAACGCGUGGGUAACCUGCCCUGUACACACGGAUAACAUACCGAAAGGUAUGCUAAUACGAGAUAAUAUGUUUUAAUCGCAUGGUUAAGAUAUCAAAGCUCCGGCGGUACAGGAUGGACCCGCGUCUGAUUAGCUAGUUGGUGAGGUAAUGGCUCACCAAGGCGACGAUCAGUAGCCGACCUGAGAGGGUGAUCGGCCACACUGGAACUGAGACACGGUCCAGACUCCUACGGGAGGCAGCAGUGGGGAAUAUUGUUUUUUUUGGGCGAAAGCCUGAUGCAGCAACGCCGCGUGAGCGAUGAAGGCCUUCGGGUCGUAAAGCUCUGUCCUCAAGGAAGAUAAUGACGGUACUUGAGGAGGAAGCCCCGGCUAACUAC
Molecule: ribosomal RNA, 454 nt
Filed under: uncultured bacterium
Lineage: Bacteria
Description: bacterial SSU rRNA
Rfam family: Bacterial small subunit ribosomal RNA
Source: RNAcentral